CCAGACUCCUACGGGAGGCAGCAGUAGGGAAUUUUCGGCAAUGGGGGGAACCCUGACCGAGCAACGCCGCGUGAACGAAGAAGUUAUUCGUAAUGUAAAGUUCUUUUAUCAGGGAAGAAAGAGGAAUUUGACGGUACCUGAGGAAUAAGCCCCGGCUAACUACGUGCCAGCAGCCGCGGUAAUACGUAGGGGGCAAGCGUUAUCCGGAUUUACUGGGUGUAAAGGGAGCGUAGACGGCUGUGCAAGUCUGAAGUGAAAGCCCGUGGCUCAACCGCGGAACUGCUUUGGAAACUGUAUAGCUUGAGUACUGGAGAGGCAGGCGGAAUUCCUAGUGUAGCGGUGAAAUGCGUAGAUAUUAGGAGGAACACCAGUGGCGAAGGCGGCCUGCUGGACAGAAACUGACGUUGAGGCUCGAAAGCGUGGGGAGCAAACAGGAUUAGAUACCCCGGUA
This 451-nucleotide ribosomal RNA is filed under the name uncultured bacterium. RNAcentral describes it as "bacterial SSU rRNA". It matches the Rfam family "Bacterial small subunit ribosomal RNA", at positions 331 to 792 of the family's 1533-position model. The record is from RNAcentral.